Molecule: long non-coding RNA, 665 nt
Organism: Condylura cristata (star-nosed mole)
Lineage: Eukaryota; Metazoa; Chordata; Mammalia; Eulipotyphla; Talpidae
Exons: 3
Source: RefSeq, a predicted model, not a curated record
CUCACCGCAGUCGUUCCCGGGAGGCCUCAGCGGCAGUCGCCGGGCGGGGCCUGGUGGCGCUGCGGAUUUUCUGCUGCGCUUUUUGGAGGCCUCUACUGCAACGCCUCGCGCCAUAUGCCCAAGAAAAAUUGGAGCUGGUUCGCCAGUGAACCAUCUUUCUGGGGGAAAAAAUAAGAAAGAGUGAACAACUGACUUAUUCUACAGCUUCUUGAGACUUCUGUACCCCAGGCUGGGGCCGGGAGGCCGAGGCAGGCCACCUGGGUCAGACCUCGGCGAGCCAUCCGAGCCAUCAUCGCUACAGCUGGCUGACUCCCGACCGCGAUGUCCGAAGUGCACUGGGAAGCCUGGAGUCUACCUGUGGGUAUUCCUGGGCCUGUGCUUUGGCGAGAAAACACGAGUAGCUGUUUUGCUCUGCAGUGUCUGCUGCUCACUCCCAGCUCCUGCCUGGGUCUCAUAAGCUUUCGACAGCUAUUGGCUGAUCGAGGCAUACAAGAUAUGAGGCAGCAGCACAUUUGGUGGGUGUGUGGUACUCCGGGGUACAAGACUGAGUGAAGGGAUAGAUGGGAAUAGUGAAUACUUGUAAGAGGGGUAAGAAUGACUUGUUUUUGAAUCUCUCUGAUUCCUGAACUUCAAAAAAAAAAAAAAGAAAAAGAAAAACACAGCAA